Molecule: unclassified non-coding RNA, 287 nt
Filed under: plant metagenome
Description: partial contains small subunit ribosomal RNA, internal transcribed spacer 1, and 5.8S ribosomal RNA
Source: RNAcentral
UUUCCGUAGGUGAACCUGCGGAAGGAUCAUUAACACGUAUUAUUUAUUAUCAAAUAUCAAAAACCAAACGUGAACCCUUUCCCUCCCUAUAUAUAUAUUAUAUAUAUACAUCUAGGCUAACCUCAUUUAAUUAAUUUUUAACACUUUAAACUUCCACUAGUUUUAAUGUAACCAUUAACACAUCUAAAAUAAAAAAGACAGGGUUAUUCGAAAGAGUAAACUUUAACUUUUUUCGAUUUACGAAAAAUUUAAAAGAACAACUCUUAACAAUGGAUAUCUUGGUUCUC